This 468-nucleotide ribosomal RNA is filed under the name uncultured bacterium. Its description in RNAcentral is "partial 16S ribosomal RNA". It matches the Rfam family "Bacterial small subunit ribosomal RNA", at positions 28 to 507 of the family's 1533-position model. The record is from RNAcentral.
GACGAACGCUGGCGGCGUGCUUAACACAUGCAAGUCGAACGGAAAGACCCUGCUUUUGUGGGGUGCUCGAGUGGCGAACGGGUGAGUAACACGUGAGUAACCUGCCCUUGACUUUGGGAUGACUUCAGGAAACUGGGGCUAAUACCGGAUAGGAGCUCCUGCUGCAUGGUGGGGGUUGGAAAGUUUCGGCGGUUGGGGAUGGACUCGCGGCUUAUCAGCUUGUUGGUGGGGUAGUGGCUUACCAAGGCUUUGACGGGUAGCCGGCCUGAGAGGGUGACCGGCCACAUUAGGACUGAGAUACGGCCCAGACUCCUACGGGAGGCAGCAGUGGAGAAUAUUGCACAAUGGGCGGAAGCCUGAUGCAGCAACGCCGCGUGCGGGAUGACGGCCUUCGGGUUGUAAACCGCUUUCGCCUGUGACGAAGCGUGAGUGACGGUAAUGGGUAAAGAAGCACCGGCUAACUACGUG